GGGUCGAUGGCGAAGUUGGUUAUCGCAUCCGUCUCACAUUGGCAUCCAUCGGUUCAUACACGGAAGGUCCUCAGUUCGAUCCUGAGUCGACCCA
Non-coding RNA from Armillaria borealis, 94 nucleotides. NCBI's taxonomy places the organism in Eukaryota, Fungi, Basidiomycota, Agaricomycetes, Agaricales, Physalacriaceae. The record is from the annotation of a GenBank genome assembly.